This 238-nucleotide ribosomal RNA is filed under the name Escherichia coli. RNAcentral describes it as "partial 23S ribosomal RNA". It matches the Rfam family "Bacterial large subunit ribosomal RNA", at positions 1646 to 1867 of the family's 2925-position model. Lineage: Bacteria; Pseudomonadati; Pseudomonadota; Gammaproteobacteria; Enterobacterales; Enterobacteriaceae. The record is from RNAcentral.
ACCCCAAACCGACACAGGUGGUCAGGUAGAGAAUACCAAGGCGCUUGAGAGAACUCGGGUGAAGGAACUAGGCAAAAUGGUGCCGUAACUUCGGGAGAAGGCACGCUGAUAUGUAGGUGAAGUCCCUGCGGACGGAGCUGAAAUCAGUCGAAGAUACCAGCUGGCUGCAACUGUUUAUUAAAAACACAGCACUGUGCAAACACGAAAGUGGACGUAUACGGUGUGACGCCUGCCCGGU